UACAGAGGGGGCAAGCGUUGUUCGGAAUUACUGGGCGUAAAGGGCGCGUAGGCGGCCUGUUAAGUCGGACGUGAAAUCCCUCGGCUCAACCGGGGAACUGCGUCCGAUACUGGCGGGCUUGAAUUCGGGAGAGGGAUGUGGAAUUCCAGGUGUAGCGGUGAAAUGCGUAGAUAUCUGGAGGAACACCGGUGGCGAAGGCGGCAUCCUGGACCGACAUUGACGCUGAGGCGCGAAAGCGUGGGGAGCAAACAGG
RNAcentral lists this ribosomal RNA (253 nucleotides) under uncultured bacterium. RNAcentral's name for it is "partial 16S ribosomal RNA". It matches the Rfam family "Bacterial small subunit ribosomal RNA", at positions 524 to 776 of the family's 1533-position model. The record is from RNAcentral.